GAUGAACGCUGGCGGCGUGCCUAAUACAUGCAAGUCGAGCGAACGGACGAGAAGCUUGCUCCUCUGAUGUUAGCGGCGGACGGGUGAGUAACACGUGGAUAACCUACCUAUAAGACUGGGAUAACUUCGGGAAACCGGAGCUAAUACCGGAUAAUAUAUUGAACCGCAUGGUUCAAAAGUGAAAGACGGUCUUGCUGUCACUUAUAGAUGGAUCCGCGCUGCAUUAGCUAGUUGGUAAGGUAACGGCUUACCAAGGCAACGAUGCAUAGCCGACCUGAGAGGGUGAUCGGCCACACUGGAACUGAGACACGGUCCAGACUCCUACGGGAGGCAGCAGUAGGGAAUCUUCCGCAAUGGGCGAAAGCCUGACGGAGCAACGCCGCGUGAGUGAUGAAGGUCUUCGGAUCGUAAAACUCUGUUAUUAGGGAAGAACAUAUGUGUAAGUAACUAUGCACAUCUUGACGGUACCUAAUCAGAAAGCCACGGCUAACUACGUG
RNAcentral lists this ribosomal RNA (497 nucleotides) under uncultured bacterium. Its description in RNAcentral is "partial 16S ribosomal RNA". It matches the Rfam family "Bacterial small subunit ribosomal RNA", at positions 28 to 507 of the family's 1533-position model. The record is from RNAcentral.